Molecule: ribosomal RNA, 464 nt
Filed under: uncultured bacterium
Lineage: Bacteria
Description: partial 16S ribosomal RNA
Rfam family: Bacterial small subunit ribosomal RNA
Source: RNAcentral
CUACGGGCGGCUGCAGUGGGGAAUAUUGCACAAUGGGCGCAAGCCUGAUGCAGCCAUGCCGCGUGUAUGAAGAAGGCCUUCGGGUUGUAAAGUACUUUCAGCGGGGAGGAAGGGAGUAAAGUUAAUACCUUUGCUCAUUGACGUUACCCGCAGAAGAAGCACCGGCUAACUCCGUGCCAGCAGCCGCGGUAAUACGGAGGGUGCAAGCGAUAAUCGGAAUUACUGGGCGUAAAGCGCACGCAGGCGGUUUGUUAAGUCAGAUGUGAAAUCCCCGGGCUCAACCUGGGAACUGCAUCUGAUACUGGCAAGCUUGAGUCUCGUAGAGGGGGGUAGAAUUCCAGGUGUAGCGGUGAUAUGCGUAGAGAUCUGGAGGAAUACCGGUGGCGAAGGCGGCCCCCUGGACGAAGACUGACGCUCAGGUGCGAAAGCGUGGGGAGCAAACAGGAUUAGAUACCCGCGUAGUC